CAGAGGCUGCGUGUCCAGACCCGGACACAGUGCAUGGUGAGGCGGUCAGAGCGGUGCGAUCUGCUCGCUGGGGCUGCCUGUCUGCGUGGGUGCUGUGGGACUACGUGCAGCUGCUGCAACAAUCCGGAUCCAAUGACACGACCACACGACCAUCCUAUGCCUCAUCAAGGGACGAGAUGAGAUAGCGAACAGAGAGGUGGUCAACAGCACACUGGACUACGGAGGGGAGAACCACCUCAUCCUCAACGUAGGAAAGACAAGGGAACUUAUCGACUUUCACAAGAAGGCCCCACCUCUACAUCCUCUCACCAUCAGUAGGACAGAAGUGGAGAGAGUGGACAGCCACAAGUUCCUAUGCCUUCACAUAUCAUCAGACUUCAGCAGGUCAGUGAAUACUGCAGUCAUGGUGAGAAGAACACAAAAGAGACUACACUUCAUCAGACUGCUCAGGAAGGCUGGAUUCCUCACGCUGGCCUACUGGGGACUGGUGGACAGCAUCCUUACAACUACCAUCGCUAUGGUACGGCAACAGUACACAAGCAGACAGGAACGCCCUCCAGACAGUUAAAAAAUAUCCUCAGGACUGACCUUCCAUCCACAGACUCACAGCAUCAAGUAUUCAUUCCAUCCUGCCCACUUUCUCUUUAAACACAAACACACAAUAUUAUUUAAGGAGAAGUCGAGCAGACAACAUUAUCACACAGAAGAACACGUUUUAUAACCGCUUCCUCCCUGCCACAGUCGGACUGAUGGCAAACCUGAACUCUGCAGAGUACACUCUAAACAACAUGAACACACGUGGACAAUAAUUCUAUUUUUAAAGCAUGUUUAUAUUUUAGGUUCAAUAUACACUUGCUGCUACAUUUUCCUAGUGCAGUAUACAGUGCUGCAAAUUCUGAUCACAUCUUCAUAUAUGUGUACACCCAUUGUAAACAUACUUAUUGUUAAAUAUAUAUACCUCUUCUAUGUAGCCUUAUUGUAGAUAUGGAGCUUAAAGUAUUUUUAUAGCUCGUUAAAACAGAUGGCAAAUAAAGAUUAUCUGACAUUUCACUGUUUGUCACAAGAAUAAAAACACAAUUGCAAAAACCA
Molecule: long non-coding RNA, 1089 nt
Organism: Girardinichthys multiradiatus
Lineage: Eukaryota; Metazoa; Chordata; Actinopteri; Cyprinodontiformes; Goodeidae
Exons: 2
Source: RefSeq, a predicted model, not a curated record